GGAAGAUAUAUCGCUUGCAGGUUUUGUGGCGUCAUUUCCGUUUUGAUACAUGAGAGACAAGAAACCUCGAAAGUAAAUACUGAAAUGAAGUUUAUAAGUUUAAAUUAACAAAAUUGUGAAGUAAUGCAACUUUAACUAAUUAAUAAUGCUAGGUGAAAUAUUCGAUGUUUCACGCAGGAGGACCCGAAUUCACGUCCCAGAUCUGGUGACUUCUGAAAAGUCUUUUCGGGGUGCUGAGCCCGGCCCGGCGAUCCCCGUCCUUUACCAUCCGGUCCCCUUCUAUGGGUGUGGAUGCAGUCCGUGGUUGAAACUGGCGCCACCCUUUAAAAAUCUCACUGAUUCGAAAAAAAUAUACAAAAAAAAUGUUCGAUAUCUGCAAAAGUAAUUCUGGACGGACAUCGGCGUUGCGGAGGGGUUCUGUACAGACUCUGCUGCUUUACUGUUUCCAUUGUUGCACCCAUAAAUGGGAUGCAUAUCUGCCAGUUCUGCAUGGGAGUGGUGAUCCAUAACAUACCCGGGAGGAUUGUGGUGGGC
RNAcentral lists this long non-coding RNA (534 nucleotides) under Androctonus crassicauda. The record is from RNAcentral. Lineage: Eukaryota; Metazoa; Arthropoda; Arachnida; Scorpiones; Buthidae.